This 788-nucleotide ribosomal RNA is filed under the name uncultured archaeon. RNAcentral describes it as "bacterial SSU rRNA". It matches the Rfam family "Archaeal small subunit ribosomal RNA", at positions 85 to 878 of the family's 1478-position model. The record is from RNAcentral.
ACUGCUCAGUAACACGUGGAUAACCUGCCCUGCGGUGGGAAAUAACCCCGGGAAACUGGGGAUAAUGUCCCAUAGGCUACGGAUGCUGGAAUGCUCUGUAGCUCAAAGAUUUAUCGCCACAGGAUGGGUCUGCGGCCGAUUAGGUAGUUGUUGGGGUAACGGCCCAACAAGCCUUUGAUCGGUACGGGUUGUGGGAGCAAGAGCCCGGAGAUGGAUUCUGAGACACGAAUCCAGGCCCUACGGGGCGCAGCAGGCGCGAAAACUUUACAAUGCGGGAAACCGUGAUAAGGGAACUCCGAGUGUCCGUAAAUGCGGACUGUCCGUAUGUUUAAAAAGCAUGCGAAGAAAGGGCCGGGCAAGACCGGUGCCAGCCGCCGCGGUAAUACCGGCGGCUCGAGUGGUGGCCACUAUUACUGGGCUUAAAGCGUUCGUAGCUGGGUCGUUAAGUCUCUUGGGAAAUCUACCGGCUUAACCGAUAGGCGUCCAAGGGAUACUGGCGAUCUAGGGACCGGGAGAGGUGAGGGGUACUUCAGGGGUAGGAGUGAAAUCCUGUAAUCCUUGGGGGACCACCUGUGGCGUAGGCGCCUCACCAGAACGGCUCCGACAGUGAGGGACGAAAGCUGGGGGAGCAAACCGGAUUAGAUACCCGGGUAGUCCCAGCCGUAAACGAUGCGCGUUAGGUGUAUCGAUGACCACGAGUCAUCGAGGUGCCGAAGGGAAACCGUGAAACGCGCCGCCUGGGAAGUACGGUCGCAAGGCUGAAACUUAAAGGAAUUGGCGGGGGAGCA